AGUUUGAUCAUGGCUCAGACAACGCUGGCGGCAGGCUUAACACAUGCAAGUCGAACGGUUGUAGCAAUACAGCAGUGGCGCACGGGUGAGUAACGCGUGGAUAUCUGCCUUUUGGUUCGGAAUAACUCCGGGAAACUGGAGCUAAUACCGGAUGGUUCCUGCGGGAUAAAGAUUUAUCGCCAAAAGAUGAGUCCGCGUACGAUUAGCUAGUUGGUGAGGUAAUGGCUCACCAAGGCGACGAUCGUUAGCUGGUCUGAGAGGACGAUCAGCCACACUGGGACUGAGACACGGCCCAGACUCCUACGGGAGGCAGCAGGUGGGGAAUAUUGGACAAUGGGGGCAACCCUGAUCCAGCCAUGCCGCGUGAGUGAUGAAGGCCUUCGGGUUGUAAAGCUCUUUGGCGGGGACGAUGAUGACGGUACCCGCAGAAUAAGCCCCGGCUAACUUCGUG
This 451-nucleotide ribosomal RNA is filed under the name uncultured bacterium. Its description in RNAcentral is "bacterial SSU rRNA". It matches the Rfam family "Bacterial small subunit ribosomal RNA", at positions 10 to 507 of the family's 1533-position model. The record is from RNAcentral.